This 520-nucleotide ribosomal RNA is filed under the name uncultured cyanobacterium. RNAcentral describes it as "bacterial SSU rRNA". It matches the Rfam family "Bacterial small subunit ribosomal RNA", at positions 105 to 658 of the family's 1533-position model. Lineage: Bacteria; Bacillati; Cyanobacteriota. The record is from RNAcentral.
GGUGAGUAACGCGUGAGAAUCUGCCCUCUAGGAGGGGGAUAACGGUUGGAAACGACCGCUAAGACCCCAUAUGCCGAGAGGUGAAACAAAUUUUGCCUGAGGAUGAGCUCGCGUCCGAUUAGCUAGUUGGUGUGGUAAGAGCGCACCAAGGCGACGAUCGGUAGCUGGUCUGAGAGGAUGAUCAGCCACACUGGGACUGAGACACGGCCCAGACUCCUACGGGAGGCAGCAGUGGGGAAUUUUCCGCAAUGGGCGAAAGCCUGACGGAGCAAGACCGCGUGAGGGAAGAAGGUCUGUGGAUUGUAAACCUCUUUUGACAGGGAAGAAGUUCUGACGGUACCUGUCGAAUCAGCCUCGGCUAACUCCGUGCCAGCAGCCGCGGUAAUACGGAGGAGGCAAGCGUUAUCCGGAAUUAUUGGGCGUAAAGCGUCCGUAGGUGGAUGUUCAAGUCAGUUGUUAAAGCGCAGGGCUUAACCCUGUAACGGCAAUUGAAACUGAGCGUCUAGAGUGCGAUAGGGGC